GGGGAUGUAGCUUAUUGGUAAAGUACUUGCCUAGCAUGCAAGGCCCUGAGUUCAACCCCCAGCAUCACACA
Molecule: transfer RNA, 71 nt
Filed under: Marmota monax (woodchuck)
Lineage: Eukaryota; Metazoa; Chordata; Mammalia; Rodentia; Sciuridae
Description: tRNA.Ala
Rfam family: tRNA
About the family: Transfer RNA (tRNA) molecules are approximately 80 nucleotides in length. Their secondary structure includes four short double-helical elements and three loops (D, anti-codon, and T loops).
Source: RNAcentral